GACUUGGAUGCCCAUGGAAUUAUCUUC
This 27-nucleotide non-coding RNA is filed under the name Homo sapiens (human). The record is from RNAcentral. Lineage: Eukaryota; Metazoa; Chordata; Mammalia; Primates; Hominidae.